CUCAGUGGGGGAUACAGAACAUCACCGGCUUCUUCUCGUUGUUUUUUUCCUCCACAUUCAUGGAUUUAAAACAAUAUUCAGCCCCCCUUAGCGGGAUGAAAGAGUCUAAAGUGGAGUUUAAAUGAAGUCCGGACUCCUGUUUUUAUUUAUUAGCUGCGUUUCUCCUGUUAGGACCUGUGACCGGGGCUUCUACCUGAGGAGUAAAGAUGAAAAGUUUGCUAUUCGUCACCUUGUGUUUCUCGACGUGUCCGCUCAUGGUUGACGGACGGCAUCCAACCUGUAACUUCCUGUUGGAGGUGGAGAGAGACCAGGCGGAGUGUCUGAGGCAGCUGAGGGAGGAGGACACUGCCGGCAGCCAUAAAGGUCACAAUCUUUGACAAACAUUCGCUAAACUACAGUUAAACCAAACUUCAAUUCAUCUAGAAACAAAGAAAGAACUUUCUGGAUCUUAAAACGGAAAACAUGGAGCACAAGUCUCAAGUCUGCCGACUGAAAGCUGAUGUCAUGUAUACAUACAGUUUGUACAAAGUACAUGUAUUCAUACCUCUGCCAUGUGAAGACAUGAGCAGCUUACAUGUCCAAGUUUAAUCCUGUCCUGGACUAAAUCUGGAUAUGAGACGCACCUGAUUUGACCGCUGGAGUUUACUAAUCAGAUUAUAUCUCAUUUCAGAUCAGAAAACUCUUUUUGAGUCUCUUUUUUUAAACCGUUUUAAGAUUCCAUUUGGCAAAAUGGGGUCAUGGCUUUUAUCUACAAAGCCUUUAAAGUCAUUUGAAAGGGAAUUUAAAGUGCCCAUAUUAUGAAAACAUCACUUUUUCUGGGAUUUGGGGUGUUAUUUUGUGUCUCUGGUGCUUCCACACAUAUACAAACUUUGAAAAAAAACCAUCCAUGCUGUUUAGAGUGAGAUACGGUUUCUGAAUGUGUCCUGCCUUCAGUCUCCGGGUGAGCUGAUCAAAAUCUGCACGGCUUUCUACGUAACUAGCCGAGACGAGGGGCCUAGGGGGCUAACCGUUAGCAUGCUAGCUCGUUCUCAAUGGCAAAACACUGCUACAACACACACAAAUUCACCCUAAUCUACAAAAUGUAUCAAACUACUUACAAGUCCCUUUUCCGCAGGUAUUCCACACAAAUUUGGAAGUGCGCCCUUAUUUAGAAGAAGUCUCCCGGCUAAUCCUGCCUUGUACAGGCUGAACUUGCA
This 1196-nucleotide long non-coding RNA is filed under the name Sander lucioperca (pikeperch). RNAcentral describes it as "lncRNA (ENSSLUG00000001579.1)". The record is from RNAcentral. Lineage: Eukaryota; Metazoa; Chordata; Actinopteri; Perciformes; Percidae.